RNAcentral lists this long non-coding RNA (353 nucleotides) under Actinidia chinensis (golden kiwifruit). Its description in RNAcentral is "long non-coding RNA (ACHI_LNC003629)". The record is from RNAcentral. Lineage: Eukaryota; Viridiplantae; Streptophyta; Magnoliopsida; Ericales; Actinidiaceae.
CGAUUUUAUUUUUUAAUCCCUGAUCCCCGCUCCGAACCCCAAAAAAUCUUCAAAAAUUCACCCCAAUCGGGGCGAGGAGCGGGGCGGGGCGGGACAAAUCGCCAUCCCUAUACGGCAGGCAAAAUCGGUGUGCAGACGUCACGUGUGGCAAUGGAAGGUUCAUAGUGGGACCCAUGAGGACUUCUGGUAAAAUUAGUGACUGUACCGUAAAACUAUUUAAAUAUUGGGACUUCAUUUCGGUAGGUAAAUAAAGGGUAAUGUUAUGGGUACAACCAAGUUGUAUCUCAAAUGCACACUCAAUGAGUGUCGUAUUUAGAUUAGUUGGGUGUGAGAUCCAUCCAGUCCUUUCACCC